CAGCCGCCGCGGUAAUACGAAGGGGGCUAGCGUUGUUCGGAAUUACUGGGCGUAAAGCGCACGUAGGCGGAUAUUCAAGUCAGGGGUGAAAUCCCAGAGCUCAACUCUGGAACUGCCUUUGAUACUGGGUAUCUUGAGUAUGGAAGAGGUGAGUGGAAUUCCGAGUGUAGAGGUGAAAUUCGUAGAUAUUCGGAGGAACACCAGUGGCGAAGGCGGCUCACUGGUCCAUUACUGACGCUGAGGUGCGAAAGCGUGGGGAGCAAACAGGAUUAGAUACCCGCGUAGUCCCUGUCUCUUAUAC
RNAcentral lists this ribosomal RNA (301 nucleotides) under uncultured bacterium. RNAcentral describes it as "partial 16S ribosomal RNA". It matches the Rfam family "Bacterial small subunit ribosomal RNA", at positions 509 to 807 of the family's 1533-position model. The record is from RNAcentral.